This 30-nucleotide ribosomal RNA is filed under the name Bemisia tabaci. RNAcentral describes it as "partial 5.8S ribosomal RNA". The record is from RNAcentral. Lineage: Eukaryota; Metazoa; Arthropoda; Insecta; Hemiptera; Aleyrodidae.
CGAACGGUGGGAUCACUCGGCUUCGCGGAU